GUCAGAUUGGCCGAGCGGUCUAAGGCGCCAGACUUAAGUUCUGGUUCCCAAAAGGGAGCGUGGGUUCGAACCCCACAUCUGACA
RNAcentral lists this transfer RNA (84 nucleotides) under Blattella germanica (German cockroach). Its description in RNAcentral is "tRNA-Leu (TAA) (tRNA-Leu-TAA-8-1, tRNA-Leu-TAA-8-2)". It matches the Rfam family "tRNA". From Rfam's summary of the family: Transfer RNA (tRNA) molecules are approximately 80 nucleotides in length. Lineage: Eukaryota; Metazoa; Arthropoda; Insecta; Blattodea; Blattellidae. The record is from RNAcentral.